Molecule: ribosomal RNA, 426 nt
Filed under: Ixodes scapularis (black-legged tick)
Lineage: Eukaryota; Metazoa; Arthropoda; Arachnida; Ixodida; Ixodidae
Description: partial 12S ribosomal RNA
Source: RNAcentral
UAAAAAAUUUUGGCGGUAUUUUAAGCUUAUUAGAGGAAUUUGCUCUGUGAUGGACACAACGCCUUAAUCUUACUUAAUUUAGUAAUUUAAAUCAGUUUGUAUACCACUAUAUUAAUUAUAUUGAAUAGUUAUAUUUAAAAUUUUUAAAAAAAAAUAUAUUAAGUCAAGGUGCAUCUAAUAAUUAUGAAUGAAGUGAAUUACAUUAAUUUUAAUGUAAUUUUUUACAUGAAAAAAUUAAUUAGGAUUUAAUAGUAAAAUACUAAUAUUAUGAGUAUUUGAAUCAAGCUCUAAAAUAUGCACAUAUCGCCCGUCGCUCUCAGAAGUGAGAUAAGUCGUAACAAAGUAAAAAUACUGGAAAGUGUUUUUUAAAAUGAAAUCAUUUGAUGUUUCAUUUACAAUGAAAAUUUUGUUGUUUAACCAUUUUAA